This 942-nucleotide unclassified non-coding RNA is filed under the name Hevea brasiliensis (rubber tree). The record is from RNAcentral. Lineage: Eukaryota; Viridiplantae; Streptophyta; Magnoliopsida; Malpighiales; Euphorbiaceae.
GAAAGAACGAGAAUCAAGCGAAUCAAAAUGGGGGAUUAUCAUUUUGUGUACAAAGAUGUUGAAGGAGCAUCAACACAAUGGGAUGAUAUACAGAGGAAGCUUGGAAAUCUCCCUCCAAAAGCUCCUGUUUUUAAGCCCGACCCGUUUACACCUGGUGAGGAUGAAGGUUCAAAAUCCAAAGACAAGGAUUGGAUCGAUGAGAAGACUCAAGAUGAGCUUGAUGAUCUUGAAGAUGACCCAGAUCUCAAUGACGAUCGCUUCCUUCAGGAAUACAGGAAGAAGAGGAUGGCCGAGAUGAGAGAAGUUGCUAAGGUUGUGAGAUUUGGAUCAGUGAUACCAAUUUCUGGAUCAGAUUUUGUGCGAGAGGUUUCCCAAGCUCCAGAAGACAUCUGGGUGGUUGUGCUUCUGUAUAAGGAUGGAUACUCAGGCUGCCAGAUACUUUUGCAGUGCUUAGACGAACUAGCAACAAAAUACCCUGUAACAAAAUUUGUCAAAAUUAUCUCUACCGAUUGCAUUCCGAACUAUCCAGAUUGUAAUCUUCCAACUGUUUUGGUGUACCACAAUGGUGCAUUAAAGUCAAAUUAUGUUGGACUUCAUAGUUUUGGUCGGAGAUGCACACCUGAAGGUGUUGCAUUGACACUCUGCCAGUCAGAUCCUGUUCUAAACGAUGGGCGUAGCAAGAAGGAACAGUCCCGAGAAGCUGUGCUGGAUGGAGUAAGGAAAAGGUUUCUCGAGAAGGUUGUGGCACAGCAUGAAGAUGACGAUGGAUCUUCUAGUGAUUAGUCCUGAAAUUUUCUUUGCAUCUUUUGUAGUUUGAUGGAAUAUUUAUGUUUCCCAGUCAUACUUCUGAUGCACCUCUGUUCUUUCAUUUUUGGUUUUCCCCUUGCUAAACCACUCUCUGUAGGUUUCUGAUGUGUGAAAUAUUCUCAAGUUAGAUUUGCU